Molecule: long non-coding RNA, 3521 nt
Organism: Sciurus carolinensis (gray squirrel)
Lineage: Eukaryota; Metazoa; Chordata; Mammalia; Rodentia; Sciuridae
Exons: 7
Source: RefSeq, a predicted model, not a curated record
AAGGAGGAAGGAGGCUGGACUCUGGGCAGUGGUCCUACCAACUGCUGUGGUGCUGCCACUCUGAACCAGGAAUGCCAACUCUCGUCUGCCGCAUCUCGGAUAUCUCGGUGUCUCAGGAGGACGGGGGCAUCAGAAAGCACUUGUGCCAUUCUGAGCCCGAAGGCACAUCAGUCCAGAGGGCAGCUGGUGUGCACGAUGGGAUAGUGAGAGACUGGUUAUGAUUUCCGCCUGUUGACACUUGUGAAGACGUGGUUCAUGACCUCCAGCCAUGCUCUGUGGUCCACCUGACUUUAGAACAAGGUGUGGAGGCUGCUGCUGAGUGGAGCAAUCUGCAUGUAUCUCGGGGUCCUGUUGCUCCUCAGUGAUGUACAACAGCCUUAGGGAAUCCCAGCUGAACUCCACAGAGCUCUCUUCCUGGCAUUGCUGGCUCUUGUACACACUAUGUCUCCUGCUGGAAAACAACCACUCGUCACAUCAGAUUUUAGAGGGGCUCACAGCUGAGCUUGCCUUGAGUCUCAUAUGAGACUUUGGACUUGGACUUUUGAACAACGUUGGAACAGUUAAGACCUCGAGACUCUUGGGGAUGGAGUGACUGCAUUGUGCAUUGACACAUAGACACACACCUUUGGGGGCUAGAAAUGGAGUGCUGUCUAUGGUUUGGAUGUUGUCUGUCCCCCAAGGCCAUGUGUUAAAGGCGUAGUGGUGCUGUCAGGAGCGAGUGGAGCCGAUGCUGGGCAGGAGGACUUCGCCUUGGUGAAGGUGGGAAGGAAAGUAGACGAGAGGACACUUUUGCUCUGAGGGAGAUACAGUCACCUGGUCAUCCUGGAGACAAACGUCAGUCUUUCACAUCGAUGAUGCUGCAUCACCAUCAACGUCUCUGCCCUGUGAUAAGGACGAGCCGCUGUAGCAGUUCAGCGAUCACAGGUGGAAAAUGGAAGAGCCACAAAUCAUGGCAGGGAAGAAAUUCUCUGGGUAGAUUUACCUUGAUGUCACAAGGGGACAGAGGAGGCGAGAAGGGCCCACGUCCAUCGUGAGAGGUCAACAUGAGUCUUGAGGCUCUGAUUCUUCACUUCAUUGCGAGUGGCGAGAAGACCAUGGUUGGGUCAUUUCCACUGAGGUCCCUCGGUGUUGUUUCAGAAGACACAGUUUCCAGGUCUCUGACUGUGAACACUGGUUGUCACCAGUGGGUGGGUCUCGGAAACUCUUUACCUGAUGAAGAAGCCCCCUCACACAAUGCAUGGAGCCCCAUGAUGCUUAGACACAUCUGAAUUCAGGAAAGCAGGAGAUGCCGUGGCUGUAUUAGCAAGGGCAUGAGCCUCCUGUGACUAUACUUAAGUCACAAGUCAAGUCAUGUUUUCCAGUGACAGUUCACCCGAUUGCCAUUAGAGAUAACAAGGCCACCCAACGGAUUCAGUUCACUUUGGCACUUUUUAAAAUGCUGUUGGUGCUUUCAAGUUCUCCAGAAGACUGAGAGCAGCAGGGACGAUGAUAGCCAUGUUGAAUUCAAUGCCUUAUUUGUCUUAUGAUUUGUGUAGGGUGAUGGGUUUCUCUGUCAUGGAAAUUUCUUCAGGGGUGUCUCAUCAAGGAAAUACAGCUUCUAAUAACUUCCUGGCAAUAAUCAUGGCAUUGGAUUUCCUAUCUAGAAAAGCUUUUAUCCAACCCACAGUUUACAAACUACUAGAAAUGCCAGCUGGACCCUGUUUGAAGGUGGCGACUGGAUGAAGAACCCAUGUAGAUGUUCAAAUGUCCCAUCAGGUGGUGGACAUGUCCCCCCUUAAAGUUUUUGCUGCCUUUCCAGGGUUUGGGUUUGGUGAACCAAAUAUGGAUUGUUCUCAAUUGCAAACAUUUUUGGCAAUUCUCUGACAGCCACAGCUCCAGUGUUUUCAUCAUUUGGGUUAUCGUGCCUGUUUUAAAAUAAUGAGACAUGGAAUGCAGCAAUGGGGAGGGUCAGGCCACCAUCUGGGCCUUUGAUGAGGCCAUGAUUAGCCCAUUUACAUGCUUUCAGAUACUAAUUUUAUUUCCAGAAUAGGAGCAUCUCACUGUUUAUUGAAUAGAUCAUCAUAGGGAACUUGAUUUGGACCAAUCACAUGGCAUUCAUUCAAAUCACAUAUAAUUUUUAGUACUGGCAGAAUUAGCAUGAAAAUCUGCCAAAGCAUUUCCUUUGUUUCUAAUUAUAUUUUGUCCCUUGUUGUUUUAGGAAUUUUAUGAAACUUAUCUGUUUCUUCAGUUUGUGCUGGCAAAUCUUACCUAGUCUAAUGUAUGGUCAGGUUCAUAGGCGUUUGGUAAGAUUUCUGGAUUAUACAUUCAUGAUGGGUUUAACACGGGUAGAGUUAGCAUUAUUAUUUGACUGUGCUUCCCAUAUAAUUUACUGUAACAAAUAAACUCCAUAACUUACCCUGGUCAUGCACUAACAAAUGUUUGCUUCUACACUCAUGACUCUAAGCUCUGCUGGGCCAGAAGUCUGCAUUACCAAAGGAGGAGGCACAAGAACAAUUCCAUUGAACUUGACUUUUAGACUUCCAUCUGGCUAAUUUGGGCUUCUCCUACCCCGGUGUCAACUGUCUGAGGAGGAAAUUAUAAUACUGCAUGGGGUAGCUGAUCCUGACUGCCAAGAAGAAACUGGACUACCACUUAGUAAUGGAGGAUUAAGAACUACCAAGAAACCUGGAGAAGCAUUAUUUUGGAUGUGUCAGUGAGGAUGUUUGCAGAGUAUGUGAGUUGAAGUGAACGAGGCGGGGAAGACUGAUCCUCAGUGUAGGUAGACCCCACCCAAUCAAGGUGUGUUGGCGUGUCCCCGAGUGCUGUUCACGCCCGUCUCCUGCCUUGGACAUCAGAACUCAGGGCUUGAUGGCCCUCGGACCCCAAGACAUGCCAGCAACGCCCCCGCCAACACGCCAGGGAUGUAGGACUUCAACCUUGACUUGAGAGUUAACCAUCAGCUCUCCAGGUGCUGAGGCCUUGGGGGUUGCCCGGAGCCAUGCUAGUGACAUUCCAAGGUCUCUAGCACGCAGACAAGCUGCCAGGAUCAGGCCAGCCAAUUCUCCCUCUCAUAGAGCGUGUCUCCUACAUAGCCUGUCGAUUCUGUCUCUCUUCAGAAGCCCGACUAAUCCAUCCUUUAUGUGGGAAUUUCAUCCUACUUGUAUCUAUUUAACUCACAUAUUCUUAUUGUCUGUCCUGAAAUGCUUAUAUCGAUAAGAUGCUAAACAACUAGCCAUUUCCCCAGGUCUUCUCCUCUUUGCCUACUUUUUAAUGUAGAGAUAACGUAAUGUAAUUGUAUAUCAGUAAUCCUAGGUAAGAAAACGGGUGCUCCCGAGUUGGACCUAAUGAUGAAAUCCUGAAGAUGCAUCUGUUCUCCAGACCCACAAUAUGCUCAUUCAAACACUGCCCCUGCCAUAGAGCUUGAAAAGUCUUUGAAUCAGUUCAUAAUUGUUUCUGACACAUGAAGAGAACUUCAUUUAUAUAAGUGUUUACUUUUUUUUCCUUUUCAAACCAAUUAAAUAAAACUCUUUGACCAUUUAACU